This 514-nucleotide ribosomal RNA is filed under the name uncultured bacterium. RNAcentral's name for it is "bacterial SSU rRNA". It matches the Rfam family "Bacterial small subunit ribosomal RNA", at positions 18 to 518 of the family's 1533-position model. The record is from RNAcentral.
UCUGGCUCAGAUUGAACGCUGGCGGCGUGCUUAACACAUGCAAGUCGCGCGUGAAAGGACUUCGGUCCGAGUAAAGCGGCGCACGGGUGAGUAACGCGUGGAUGAUCUACCCAUGAGUUAGGAAUAACGGCUGGAAACGGUCGCUAAUACCAAAUACGCUCCGAUUUCAACUUCGGGGGAAGGUGGCCUCUGCUUGCAAGCUACUGCUCAUGGAUGAGUCCGCGUCCCAUUAGCUAGUUGGUGGGGUAACGGCCCACCAAGGCGACGAUGGGUAGCCGGUCUGAGAGGAUGACCGGCCACACUGGGACUGGAACACGGCCCAGACUCCUACGGGAGGCAGCAGUGGGGAAUAUUGCGCAAUGGGCGAAAGCCUGACGCAGCGACGCCGCGUGAGGGAUGAAGGUCCUCGGAUCGUAAACCUCUGUCAGGAGGGAAGAACCGCCACGGUGCUAAUCAGCCGUGGUCUGACGGUACCUCCAAAGGAAGCACCGGCUAACUCCGUGCCAGCCGCAGC